RNAcentral lists this long non-coding RNA (2072 nucleotides) under Theobroma cacao (cacao). Its description in RNAcentral is "long non-coding RNA (TCAC_LNC000247)". The record is from RNAcentral. Lineage: Eukaryota; Viridiplantae; Streptophyta; Magnoliopsida; Malvales; Malvaceae.
CUUCUUCCCUUCUCCUCUCUCACGUUUCUUUAAUUCCUCCAUGGGAGUUUUCUUCAAGCUUCCAUAACUUUCUCUCUUUAGCUCCAAUUUUCAUGCUUUUGGUGUACUCUUCCAUAAACCCUUAUGCUCUUUCAUCCUCUCACUUUAAAACCAUUCAAAAAUCUGGUUUUCAUACUUUCUCUCACUAGUUGGAUGUUCUAGAGAGAGAAAUAAAGAAUUACCCCAUUGAUUAGAAAGCAAUUGGAAGAGAAUUUGACUACAAAAGAGCCCUAGGGUAAGUGAUGAACUAAGCUCAAUUUUUAGCUAUAGAAAAUGGCUAGUAAUUGGGAUUUAUGAGCUAUUUUAUUGUUGACUAUGUUCAUUACUUUUUAGUGAUUAAGAUAGUGAACAUAGAUAGCCAUUUAAUGUGGCAAUUGAAAGCUAGCUAAGAGAUAGCUUUUAGGGUUCAUAGUGUGUAAAUUGACCUAUUGAUUAUACCAAUGUGAUCCUAGGUUCUAAGGAAGCCCCAUCAUCUCAUUGGACAAUUAGAGGAAUUGGAGUCAUCUAAAGGCUCUACAAUCAAUUGGUAAGUGGAUUGCCUAUCAAAAUUGUUUUGGGAAUAUGACUGUUUUGAACAAAAUGUUUGAAUGAUUUUAUACAACUUUUCUAAAAAAUGAAUGCCUUGGGAACAAGCUCUUGAGAAAUGGUUUAUGUUAUGAUAUGUAGUUAUUAUGGAUUUCUAUGUGGCUACAUUAUGUUGAUAUACAUAUAUGCUCAAAUAUAAUGUUGUGUAAUUAUAUUGACUCGGCUAUGUGCGAGUAGGGAGUGCGUAUAAGCCGAAGAUGACCAGAUUAUGUGCGAGUAGAGAGUGCGCAUAACCUGGUGAUGACCCAGCCAUGUGCGAGUAGGGAGUGCGCAUGAGCUGGUGAUGAUGAUGAUGGGAUGGUGUGCAUGAUGGUGAUGGGUAUAUGUAUAUGUAUACAUACGUAAACAUGUGUGUUAUAAGAAAUUUAUAAGUUAUGUAUAUGGAUGUAAUGUAUGUGAAAUUCGGUAUGUUAAACUUUGGGAAGUUGUUAUGUAUUUCUUAUUGGUUUUGAACAUUUCAAGCAAGGUGGUUUUCUUUGGGAGAAAAGGAAAUUUUCAUUUAGUGCCCUGUAUUUCGCUGCAGCAAGAAUCAAUUUCGCUGCAACGAGAAAUUCUCAGGUUUGAAAACCUUCACCAGAACUGGUUCUCGCUCCAGUGAGAAUGUAUUUCGCUGUAGCGAGAUAGUCACUGCAGCUUCUAGCUGUAGCGAAAAGGAAUCUCGCUGCAGCAAGAAACUCUCUGUUUCAUCAGUUGAAUUUCGCUGCAGCAAGAAACCUUCUAUUUCUAGGUUAUAAUUUCGCUGUAGUGAGAAAGAAUCUCGUUGCAGCAAAAAACUUUCUAUUUUGGUCUCCUAUCUUGUCCAAUUGCUACCCUAUCUUUCACUUCUUUGCUACCAUAUUAGAGCAUAGACUUCCAACAUUAAGGAUUAAAUGAGUUAAGUUUAAAAUGGGGAGGUUUAGUGAGAAACCCUCGGCCAGUUGAGAAACCCUCAUUCGGCUAAUAACUAAAUCCCAACGUCACUGCAACGAAAAUUCAUUUUCGCUGCAGCGAAGAUUUGUUGUCGUAUUUGACUUACUUGUGUAAUAUUGAAGCUUUCAUUCUUCAAAUGGUUCGUUAUGUAUGGGUUAAUGAUUUUUAAAUGAUUAAUCAUUUAAGGCUUGAUGAGGGGUUUUUAAUAAGAAUAGAAAUAAAUUGCAUUGCUUUGAAAAAGAAUGCAUCAUGAUUUCAUUAAAGAUUCCUUAUGGUAUGCUUGUUCCCUUUCUUGUUCACUCACUAGGUUUAUACUCACCAUUUUCAACUUCAUGUUUUCAGAUCACGAGGCAGUCGGUAUCUAGGACGAGUUGUCCUUGUAGACUUAUACCCAUCUUUUGGUAGGUGUCUCGGCAUUUAGUAGCUGUACAUUGGUCUGAGUCCCUCCGCUGGAAAUUGAGUCUUCUUUUUGAGAUGUAUAGACAAACUUGAUGUAAAUUAUUAAGAUACAUGCUGUAGACAAUGUAUGUAUAUUUUAA